This 230-nucleotide unclassified non-coding RNA is filed under the name Hevea brasiliensis (rubber tree). Lineage: Eukaryota; Viridiplantae; Streptophyta; Magnoliopsida; Malpighiales; Euphorbiaceae. The record is from RNAcentral.
AGCAUCAAAUUAUCUCUACAUCAUAAUAUCAAAACAUCUAUCCAACCCUUCAAAUUUUAAAUUUUUCAGAAAUAAUUCUUAUUCAGACAACUCAUACAAAUAAUUUAUAUCUCACAAAAUACAAGUCCAAAAUUUACAAAAUUUUGGCACAAAAGCCUCAACAUCCUAAAUAUUAUCUGUACUAAAUUUCAUUAUUUUCAGAGUACUCUAACUAUUUAUUUUUCUCAAAU